Onychostoma macrolepis is the source of this 873-nucleotide long non-coding RNA. RefSeq lists it as uncharacterized. The record is from RefSeq and is a predicted model, not a curated record. The transcript is spliced from 3 exons. Lineage: Eukaryota; Metazoa; Chordata; Actinopteri; Cypriniformes; Cyprinidae.
AUCAGGCUCUCUUCGAUGAUUUAAGAAAUGUUAAAGAUCUUUUUUACAACCUGAGGGGCCUAUUUCUUUUUAACAGGACAUUGUUACUAACCUGUCAAAACGAAGCGAUACUUUAUAAAAAACAUUCAUUUGAUAUUUGAUUGAAAUACACCAUUACGGUUUCAUUAGCUCAUCGAUUUCGCAGUAAUCUCAUAUCAGAGACCAUCAAGCAAGUUACAUGCAAUAACCUGGGGCUAAAUGUUAAAAUAUGAUCCAGACUAGCUAAUGACCCUAUUACAAUCGACCCAGGAAGCUGAGAAAGAGAUUCUCCAGGUUCUGCGGUGCCUCAUGCAGGCUGCCCUCUGCUGUAUCAUCAUCCUUACUAUUACAAACCGGCACGUAAUUCAUCCAACCAACACAACUAAUAAUGUAGCAAAUGAAAAAGGGAAGAUGGAAGGGGGAAAGACCUCCAUGUCUCUCAGAUUUGUUUUCUUUUCCUCUCAUUGUCUGCCUCUUUCUUCAGAUCUAUGAUGUAAGAGCAACAGGACAUGACUUGGCGACAUAUAGACGAGAGGCUAUUGAGUUUCUAGACUACUUGUGCUGUAACCCGGGCAAUGAGACAGAGAGCAACUCUCAGCAGUUCAGCUGGAAUCCUAAACACAUUGCAAAGAUUUGCUGUCAUACUUGGGGAAAAUGAAUUAUGUUGACAUAUGGCUGAAAACAAUGGUGGAAAGGCAUGCAAUGUAAGGCAAUGAAGAAUCAUUCGGUGUUGUGGAGGAGAGGAUCUGGAGCUGUUCCUUUGAGCCCUCUAUGACAGGUAUACAGAGCCACCUGACAGCACAGUAUUUCAGUGAUAAAUGCAGUGGGUCUGGGACUUCCAUUCACUAAACUCAG